UACAGAGGGUGCAAGCGUUAAUCGGAGUUACUGGGCGUAAAGGGCGCGUAGGCGGUCAUUUAAGUUAGAUGUGAAAUCCCUGGGCUUAACCUAGGAACUGCAUCUGAUACUGGGUGACUGGAGUAUUGUAGAGGGUAGUGGAAUUUCCGGUGUAGCGGUGAAAUGCGUAGAGAUCGGAAGGAACACCAGUGGCGAAGGCGGCUACCUGGACAAAUACUGACGCUGAGGCGCGAGAGCGUGGGGAGCAAACAGG
This 253-nucleotide ribosomal RNA is filed under the name uncultured bacterium. RNAcentral describes it as "partial 16S ribosomal RNA". It matches the Rfam family "Bacterial small subunit ribosomal RNA", at positions 524 to 776 of the family's 1533-position model. The record is from RNAcentral.